Molecule: ribosomal RNA, 419 nt
Filed under: uncultured bacterium
Lineage: Bacteria
Description: bacterial SSU rRNA
Rfam family: Bacterial small subunit ribosomal RNA
Source: RNAcentral
AACGAACGCUGGCGGCAGGCUUAACACAUGCAAGUCGAGCGCCCCUCCUUCAAGCGAGCUUGAAGGAAUACUUGGAAUAUCAAGCGAGCCGACAGGCUCGCUUGAUGGAGGGGAGCGGCAGACGGGUGAGUAACACGUGGGAAUCUACCCUUCGGUUCGGAACAACACGGAGAAAUCUGUGCUAAUACCGGAUACGGCCUAUGGGCGAAAGAUUUAUCGCCGAAGGAUGAGCCCGCGUCCGAUUAGCUAGUUGGUGUGGUAAUGGCGCACCAAGGCGACGAUCGGUAGCUGGUCUGAGAGGAUGACCAGCCACACUGGGACUGAGACACGGCCCAGACUCCUACGGGAGGCAGCAGUGGGGAAUAUUGGACAAUGGGCGCAAGCCUGAUCCAGCCAUGCCGCGUGAGUGAAGAAGGCCU